AUCCCAAAGGGGCACUGGUUAGAAUAAAGGGUUCUCAAACCAGCACAGUCAACACCUCUACAAAAAAGAAAAAAGCACUCAGCAGCUUCACCAGCCGCCUGAGAAAUGCAGGUCAAGCCACACGAGAGUUCCUCGUCCCCCAGUCAGAAUGGCAGUCAUAGGAAAAACGGUGAACGCGAUUACCACACAAGAUGAUGACCCAAGGUUGGUUUCCAGAAGCCACAGUGUAGGGAGACAACAGGCUCCUGAGAGUUUUCCUCUGACAAUCACAUGUGCACUGCACAUGCACUUUAACACACACACACAAAAACAAUACACAAAACAAAAAAACAAACCAGAAAACCAACAACAAAUACCAGCUGAGCAUAGCGGCACACAUCUUUAAUCUCAGCACUCAGGAGACAGAUGAUCUCUGUGGGUUUCAGGACAGUCUGCUUUACCAGUGAGUUUCAAGACAGCCAGGAACACAUGACCCUGUUUCAAACAACAAAAUGAGCCUCACAGUGGUGCUCACACUUUUAAUCUUAACACUUGGGAAGCUGAGGCAGGCAGGUCUCUGUGCAUUGGAGGCCAGCCUGGUCUACAGAUUGAGUUCUGGAACAGCCAGAGCUACAUAGAGAAACCCUAUCUCAAACAAAAACAGAACAACAACAAAACAAAACAGAACAAAACCAUUACACACCAAAAAACAAAACUCAUCAAAAAACAAACAAAACGAGACAAUGAGCCCAAAUAACAAAUGCUGUGAAUAACAAAUGCUGUAAGUAUGUGACAAAGGGACACUGCUUUUACCCUGUUGGUAGACAGGUCCCCUACUGUAGGAGUUGAUAUGAGCUUCCUCAAAAAGCUAACAAUAGCUCCACCCUUCUACUGGCUGUUCCACUCCCAUGCAUUUACCCAAAGGAUUCCAAGCCAACCUUUCAUAGAGAUGUUUGCACGUUGAUGUCUUCUGGGUGCUCUUCAAGAGGACUAAAUUGUGGAACUAAUCUCAGAGUUCAAAAACAGAAGAAUGGACAAGAAAAACGCGGCAAAUCUCAUUUCAUUUUUCUUUUUUGUUUUGUUUUGUUUUGUUUUUCCCCCGAGUCAGGGUUUCUCUGUGUAGCCCUAGCUGUCCUAGAACUCACUAUGUAGAUCAAAUCAAGAGAUCCGAAUGUCUCUGCUUCCCCAAAUGCUGAGAUUAAAGAUGUGUAUUUCUGUGUUUGUGUGUUCUGCCUGCAUGUGCGACUAUGCAUCAUGUGUUUCUGGUACCCUCACAGGUCAGAAGUCCGAUCCCCUGGAACUGGAUUUAUGGAUAGCUGUUAGCUACAUGGGGUUCUGGGAAAUGAACCUGAGUCCUAUAUAAGAGCAAAAAUUGUCUUAAUCACUGAGCCAACUCUCCAGCCCCUUUAAUUUGUGUGUGUGUGUUGUAUAGAAUGAAGUUGUGUUUUCCAGGAAAAUGAAUGCAACUGGAGAUAUGCAAUAAUAUUAAAGAAUUAAGCCAAUAACAAGACAAAUAUGUUUUGCUUUUGGUUCCUAGAUUUUAUAUAGACACAUAAAAUUCUGUGUAUAUAUGUGACAUGAAAGUGGAAGUAGCUGGGCGGUGGUGGUGCACACCUUUAAUCCCAGCACUCGGGAGGCAGUGGCAGGCGGAUUUCUGAGUUCGAGGCCAGGCUGGUCUACAGAGUGAGUUCCAGGACAGCCAGGGCUACACAGAGAAACCCUGUCUGGAAAAAACAAAAGAAAAAAAAAAAAAAGAAAGUGGAAGUAAAGGUGUCUGGGGGAUAAAGGGCACUAAUGGGUGGGAGAUGGGGGAGGGGUGAGAGGGAGGUGAGGGCUGUGGGGAGAGGAUACUCAAACAGCAUAGACUUAUGAGAGAAUAAAUUUCAAAACAAUCAGAGCCUUGAACUGUAUCACGUCCCUUGGCCCCAGCAUAGUGCAUAGAACACAUUCCACAGUGCUACAAGAAAGGGCUUCAGGGACUGACUCAGCUCUGGGAAGGACUUUUACAUAUGAGGCCACAGGUUCCGCCCCUAGCACUGCAGAAAUGACUGAUGAAAAAGGUCCUUGUAUAUUAAAGAACCGUCUCAAGUAGUUCAAGAUGCCCUUGACCUCUCUGUAUAACCAGCCAGGAUGACCCCGAGUCUGCCUUCUUAGUGCUGGGAUUAUAGGUAUGUUGUGAACAGCCAUAUUUAUCUGUGUCUAACCCCUAUGCCCCAUUUAUAGAUUCUGGGAGUUAGGGAGGUUCAGGGCCUUGUGCAUAAUAGGCAGGUGCUCUACCAGUCCAGUUACACCCACAGCUCCUUACGCUGUCAAGGGAUCUCAAGUUAAUAGUUUCCUUUUUUAACCUGCCAGUGCAAAGGACUGAACACAGGGCCUUAUCUCUCUCUCUCUCUCUCUCUCUCUUUCUCUCUCUCUCUCUCUCCUCCUCCUCCUCCUCCUCCUCCUCCUCCUCCCUCCCUCCCUUCCUUUCUUAAAGUAAGGGUUUCAGGGAUCCUAGGCUGGCUCAGAUUUACUGUUGUUGAGGUGGAUUUUGUGAGUUCCUGAUCCUUGUGGCUCCACCCCUCAGUGCUGGGAUCAGUGAACGCUGGGAUUGGAGACAUGUACUGCCACACCCAGUCUCUUAAACACGUUUGACUCCAGGAAUCACAAGAUUUAGAUCUGGAAGCAAUCCUAGAGAUAGCCCUCACAUUCUUCUUUAGCAGCAGCAUCUCAUCUUGCAGCUUAAUCUGCCCCUAAACCCGAGGUCCUCCUGUGUCAGCUUCCGGAGUUCUGGGAUGUCAGGCACGUGGCACCAUAACUGGUUUUGGUUUACCUGGUUUUGAAUUUUAUAGCUAAAGACACUGAGCCCUAAGGAGUUUAAGGUAAACUUGGGAAGCUAGGGAUUGUGAGCCCAAGGAGGCAAAUGUAUGGGGGUCAAGGAGCACCCGAGGGAGCGGGGAGGGAUGCUGGAAGAGAGGGAAAGAGGAAGGGGACGGAAGGAGACUCAGAGCUCAGGGAGGACAGCCUGUGUGCUUUCUCAGCCAUUGCCGUAGGAAAAGAAACCUACUUGACCUUUUCCCCAAAUCAGAAAAAAAGAGCAGCUGACUUUUUCCUGUAAGUCUCAUCUCCAGAAGGCUGCUCUCUCUCCUGCUAUAGCACUCUAUGACACCUUUAAGAACCCUCUGCAGGCGGAUUUCUGAGUUCGAGGCCAGCUUGGUCUACAAAGUGAGGUCCAGGACAGCCCGGGCUACACAGAGAAACCCUGUCUCGAAAAAACAAACAAACAAACAAACAAACAAACAAACAAAAAAGAACCCUCUGCUGCCGUCAGGGACUUCAGCAAACCAGGUGGAAGGGAAGUUGAGAAUAUAGUUGGACCAAGGCUAGGAAAAAUCACUGUGAAUCCAUGUGGAUGCUAGGUACACAGGUCUGGUGAAGGAGGAUUAGAGAGACACUCCGCCAUCAGGAUGCUGAGCGCAAGAUCCGCUAUAUUCAAAUUUCUCUUUUCCUCACAGUCACAGGGACUGAAUGAACCCAGGGCCUCAAGUACGCUACAUCCCAGCCCUGUAUUCAGUUCUGCAGGGGAUAACCGGGGAGGACACAGUUGGGUGACAGUUGGAACACAGUAGGUAGGGGCUGCUACUCACAGCUAUUUCUUGAAAGGAGUGUUCAGGAUUUUUCUCUGUUUAAAGGUCAGAGCCUUUAUCACAGCUGAGGAUCAAACACCCCUGAUACCUGGUUAUCAUUAACACCUCGGUAACCAGACAGGAGGGAGGGAGGACAGAGAACCAGCAGGACAACAGGCAUGCAGCUGCUGGAGACCUCAUUCCUCUUACUCCAGCCCAUUCGCUGGCUACCAUAAACAAUUCUGUUCUGGGCACCAAGGAAUGGCAAGGCUGGAUUCUGUAAUUACACCGGUGGUAGCUGCUUGUUCCCUAUAACAUAAGUGGCAGAGAAGAAAUGAAGGACUCUACGAAGAGCUUUCGAUUUUUCCAAUUGCUGCAGUAAGCGCUGAUGGAAUUCUGCACUCAUGGGUGGGGCAGAGGGUGGGUGCUGCAGGGAAAGGGGAAAUAGAGCCUGAGGGGGACUCUUGGAGGAAGCUGGGGCAGAGCCCAAGUGUCUCGCUGAGCACUGGCUGUUGCAGAAGAGGCAUUUGUGAAGGAUGGCCAAGGAGAGCUGUCUCACAGCUGGCUCCCAUUACUGUGGGGGUGGAGGAACUGCCAAGCUCCCACAGCUGUGACCAAUUGUGCAGAAGUGGGGGAGGGAAGAGAAUCCCCCAGUAGGAAGGUGGCUGGGCCAGAGAGAGGGCUCAGUGAUGGACGCAGGUGAGAGAGGGAGGUCAGGCCUCGAGACGAGACGUUUAGUAUUGGGUGGUGGUUUCCUAAGGGCUGAAGCACUGUGCUAGAACAUCAGCAUGUGCUUGUGAGAGUUAACAUCUGGAAAUGUUUCGGUUCUGGGUGCUUGGGUUCCUGAAUCAGACACCCAGGAGCAGCUCAGAUGAUGAGCAGGCAGGUAUCCCACUGCACGCCAUUUCCAAGAACAGGAGUGAAGGGUUAAAACUCAGGUUGUGCUGCUCAUGAUGAAACCUCCCAAAAUUGUAUCACCAAGCAAGACUACCAUGUUUCUCUGACUGCACCUUUAACUCUCAAGUAACAUGUCGCCGAGUUUAAAAGGCACACAUGGCCCUUGAAGGGUCUCAUUCUGCUAUCUUCUGUGUGACUUCAGAAAGAACCUUUCACUACCUUAGGCCCCCCACUCUACCCCUACGGUAGAUAUGAGCCGGCCUAGACGAGUCCCAGUGUCCCCUCCAGCCUUAGCAGCCACCCACUCUGACUCUGUAUAACGACACAUCCAGGGGCUAGACAUGGGAGCUUUCUCCUGACCCACAAAAUGAGUCAAGUCUAUCAUGGUAAGGCUUGUUAGCACGCCUGGAUCGAGGAACAAUGGUGACAUCGCGCUCGGAGGAACUAUGAGAUAACCCUGGUGUCCAUGAACUACUGAAGGCAGUCCUGAAGCGGAAGGCCUGGCAGAGGCAGCGUGAAAGGGGUGGGCACUGACUUCAAGGAAAGAGCUGGGAUGGACGGGUCCCAGCGAGGGACAGUUAGCUAUGGGCUUGAGGAAAAGAACAUUAUAUACUGCUUUGUUAGCCUCUAAACCACGCUCCAAAAGCUAUCCUCCUGGUGUUCAUCUUACAAACCAAGGGAGUUCACUCAGAAUGUACCCUCCCACUCUGAGACAGGAUCUCAUAUGUCCUGGGGGCCUCGAAUUAUGUAAUGAGAGCUGACCUUCUCAUUCUCCUGCGUUUACCUCCUGAGUACUGGGCUACAGGUGUGGACCCCUGUGCCUGGUUUUAUUAGGUACCGGGGAUUGGAACUCAGGGGUUAGAGCAUACUAGCCCAGCAUUCUACCAUCCAAGCUACCCCCAGCUAGUGAUAUUUACUAAUUGCUUUUCAGUGCUGGGAACUGAAGCUAGAAUUUUAACAGGCUAGGCAAGUACUUCACCAUCAUCCUUUUUUCCUGGCCCAUGACUUUACAAUGUACUAUCAUGCUAUCAAAAUUCUUUCCAUAGAGCUUUUCUUAGACUCUUGUCAACCACUCUGAGAACGUGCUGGACCCGCAAAAGUAUAGUAUUUUGGGUGCCACACUGUUGAGUGUAGUUGGGUAUAGAAGACAUACAGGACCUCACUGAAGCUAUGGAAACUGAGUAAAAAUGAAUGGAGAGGGGCUGAGAUGGCUCAGUGUUUAAGAGCACCAAAUGUUCUUCCAGCGGUCCUGAGUUCAAUUCCCAGCCACCACACGGUGGCUCACAACCAUCUGUGGUGGGAUCCGAUGCACUUUUCUGGUGUGUGUCUGAAGAUAGCUACAGUGUAUGUACUCAAAUAAAUAAAAUAGAGGAAUGAACAAAAGAAUGAAUACAUACAGCUACACCAGAACCUAUUUGUCUUGUGACUUGUGUGUGAAACCCAAGGUUCAGACACCAUUGUCAAGACUUGGUCACCACAUCCCACUCAUUAGCUGGGACACGGACCUUCAGCUUCUGAUUUCUUACACUGGGAAAAAGAUAGAAUAUUAAAUAUUAAACUCUCUGCCAUCAAAAACUUUUAUACAAACUUGCUUGUGUGCAGCCAUGGUCUACAGUUGCGGAAGGUUUUUAGAGCUGAUACCAGUAAAUAAGAAACAAAAUAUUUAUCAUAAAGAAAAUGAAGAUGGGUAUUUAUCUGGGUUGUUAUGGAGACAGAGCAGGCCAUCAUAACAGCAUUCUUUGCUUUCCAUCUGUCAAGCUCGAGCUUGACAGAACCUUUAGAAACACUCAAUGUCCACCCUAAAGAUGAAACAGAGCAAACAUGUUAUUUUAAAUGUGAUAGGUUUUUGGCUCAACUUCAAACCCUUCUGUAAGUCAGAGUGUCUGCCACUGACUCCCAGUGAGUUUCUCUCCAGUGCUUAGACUCCUCAGCAAAGAUAACUAAAUGCACUGGGGGUGGGGGUGGGGGGGUGGAAGAGGGCAGGGUGGGGUGGGAGGAAAGUGCUGAGGGCAGCUAAGGUCCACCACAGAUGUCACAGGGUCACUCCCUGGGUUUGUCAUCUAUGGUGUUCUCAUGCUCCACUUGGUGGCCUCACUGAGACUGGGGCACGGAAGGAAGAGGGGUAGGGUAGGUAGGUUCUCCCUUCCACCAUCAGCUGAAGAGGAUCGGGACCCGUGUGUGCUCAGCAGAGGAGCAGCUCAGAUGAAGGCAACAGCUGGGACUUACGCUAAUGAUUUUCUUCUCAGAAUCGUCCAGAUCAAGAAACAUGCAGCCUGUACCCCAGCCCCUUGUUUGUUAAGGCUUGGACAGAGAACCUUCAUUUCCCCAUGGCUACUACCCAAUACAUCUAUCAGAAACAAAUAGAUCCUUCCACCAGGCCUACGAAUCAGAGAAUCUUAUGGAACGUGGUGCCAGGAGACUUGGAGGCUCUUAGCCCAGGGAGUCUGAUCAUCUCAGAUCUGAGAGAAACCUACUCAUACUACCCACUGGGGCCCCUGUUGGAAGGCCACCAAGAGAAGGUUGGUUCUAGACAAAAAUACUUAGCUUCUGUAGCCACAAAGGAAGAGAAAAGAAUCUCAAACCUUUUCAAGACAGGCUCUUGCUAUGUUGACAAGACCAACCUGAAACUCAAAGCCAGUCUACCUCAGCCGACUCACACUGGAAUAUAGGCAGCUUGCACCACCAGACUCUCAAAGGGUCUGCGUGGCCUACCUGGCAAAGACUUCCUGCAUUCCUGUGGAUACAGGGCCCAGAGGCUGUCCUGUCACCCCCAUCCCCAGCCCCACCACUGCAUGGCAGCUCCUAGCCCCCCCCCCCCCAUUAUCUCCAGUGUCAGGCAGCUCUCCAGUGCCUGAGGAGGCAUAAAACUUUACCACAAUCCUGCUGCAAAAGAAACACACACUGGGCAAUGGGCUCUGCAGCCUGCUUGCUGAAGCCUCAGAGGGCAAUGUAAGUGACUCUUCGAUACCAUAGGCUGUUCACAGAGGGCACAACUCCAAGAGCAGACUGUCAUGGAAGGUGAGGUGAGGAGAAAAAGACCGAAGGCCCUCCGGGAACGAAAGCUGAGGCCCCAGGGGAGCCCACUCGGGUGCAGGGGGAUCUGUUCAGAGGGGUUGGCUAGCGUGCAAUCUGCCCAGGAGAGAGCAGGUGGGCCGUACCCUUUUCUUGACACUUGGGUAGAAGGUCUCCUCCAGUUUUCUAAUAUCCUGAGCCCAAGCUGCCCUUUAGACAUUACCUCCCUGUCUCUUCCUACCUUUCCUUUCAGUGUUCUCUGACCAGAAAAUGCAUACAUGAUGCUUGGUUGGCCUGCUCAGUUUCAGCUGUUCUCAUGGUCAUGGGCAUCUUCUCCACACUGGCCUUCGCUAGUCUAACACCUUCACCCCCGAGGCAGUCCCCGAGGGGAUGCGUGACCCCCACUCCUGGCAGGUGCUGGGUUUAUUUAGCUGGUCUCCACGUUAUGCCAAGGCCUUUCUGAAAUCCAUCUUUUCCCUCUUCCCUGAAUCCAAGGGAAUGGGGGCUGUUGGGGAAAGGUGAGUGGGCCUUCCAGAACAUGGAGAUAGUCACCACAGAGCUGAUGAAAUCUGAUCCUGGUCACUAAAGGGUUAUUACUCAUCCCUGGCUUCCAGGGCUCUAGCCCCAACAUCGGGAGCUCUCUGUGUGAAUUCCCCAGUGCCCAGGAGCUUGGAGAGCUGCCCGGCUCUUAGCACCAGCUGCAGGCUGAAGACAGGGCCUGCUUCCCGAGCUAACAGAAAUGCACAGGGAACAAUGAUGGUGACAUUUAAAAGUGAACAGAGAGCUCAGACAUGAGGUAGGGGCAGCCGGGGAAUAGCCAAAUGGCAACGGUCCAAAGAGGAGCAUCCUAAAGGUGACCAGAUGGAUGCAUUGAGCACAGGGCGGGAUUGCUGACCCCUCCCCAGCCCCCUGAUGAAUUCCACGUUGAAACAUGUUGUCCUUUUCAUUCUCCUUCCCCUGUUUUGUUCUCUGCAGCAGCUCAGUCAUUUCCUCUCCAAACCACAGGCAGCACUGCUCUGCUUGUUAGCUCCUGGUAUGUCUCCUUCCCAGAUGGCCUCCACUAUUUUAGCUGUUGGUGGCCCCCUUCUUGGCCUUUUCUGGAGUGGCAGGUUCACAUAUUCUCCCAUGGUUCUAAAAAGCUCCAGGUCAGUGUUUUAGAAUUUUUUUUUUAAAGCCAUACGUUUCUUGUGUGAGUGUGCACGUGUGCGUGUGCACGUGUGAGUGUGCACAUGUGCGUGCACACACACACAGGAAAUCAGAGGACAGCUUGGCGGGAGUUGGUUCUCUCCUUGCACUGGGCAGGUCCUGGGGACUGAACUCAGGUUGUCUACCUUGAUGGCAGGCUCCUUUAUCUGCUGAGCUCCUCAAUGUUUUCAUUUGUUUAGUUUUUAGAGAGAAGGUCUUUCUAGGUGGUGCAUGGUACCCUGAACUCAUAGAGAUCUGCCGGCCUCUGCCUCCAGAGUUCUGGAGUUAAAGGGCUGACUGAGAUCAUGAAAAUGCUGGAACCAUUCCUUUGCUAGAAUCCAGAAUCAAGAUUUACUCACUCAUUAUGUAUACAGUAUUCUGCCUGCCAGAAGAGGGCAGAUGGUUGUGAGACACCAUGGCUUGCUGGGAAUUGAACUCAGGACCUCUGGAAGAACAGCUGGUGCUCUUAGCUUCUGAGCCAUCUCUCUAGCCCACCAAUGCAAAUUCUUAUUUCCCUCUGGACAUUCUUUGAUUUGUGAUGUGGCCUUCAGAAUCAGAGAAUCUCAUCUCUUCCUGCCCACCCUCGUUCUCCACUCCAAUCAGGGAGCUGCCUCACAGUCCCUGAGGGUGACAUGUUCAGUCUCUACUAUCCUUGCCUUCGUACAGACAGCUUCUGUAACAUGCUCUCAGUCUUAGCACCAAGUCAGCAGGUGAGGAGUGGCCUCUGUUAUCUCCCAAACUCACUGCCUCUAACAAGCCCUCCCACCAUGGUGUGGUGUAGUCUGCUUACUUCCUGGUCCCCCAACAGAAUUAGAACUCUGGAGGGCAGGUCCACGUUCUCAUAGGAGAGAGUGCCUAGCCCACAGUGAAACCCAUGGAAAGCAGGCCAAACAGCAGAGAGGCAUGGGCACCACGCAGUUCUAUCUCUCUUUACCUCAUGAGUGAGCCUCACAGGCCUCCAGGUCAUCCUUGUCUCCCAGAAUCCAAUCUACACGCUGAGAGUCUAAGACUAAGCAUCAUUUACAGGUAUUGUCAGAAGUGGCAGAGGUUGGUACCUGAGUUUGUCUGCGAUGAAGAUGACUCUCCUUUCCAGAAGGAGGGAGGCAAAGACACUGACCAAGUGUCGGACACUGAGGGAGGAGAACAGAGACUCAAAGUCCACGUGCUCUAGCCGGGAGUCCAGCGGUCGGCACAGCUCAAUCACCUGCCAGGGAACAGAAACUUCUAAGGAACAAAGAUUCCUAUCUGCCCUGUGGUUGGUUCUCCCAUUCAUCAUGGGUGUACAAGAAGCAAGGAACUGCUUAGCACAGGAAGUUUCCACCAGUGGAGUGCUGAACUGCUGUGGCCAGUGCGGUCAUCUUUAUCACGUUGACACAGAAAUCAGCCUUCUUAGCAGCCUAAUUCUACCUGCAGUGAAGUCCAAGAAAAUGUCCUGAUACUUUCAAGACACUGAAAUCUGUGUAACUGCUGGCAACUGCAGCCUGGUGUUUCUCCUUCCUUUCUGCCAGCUCGAGGGGAAGCAGCUCUACUUCUGGAUUUUCUGACCUCUUACCUAGAAU
Molecule: long non-coding RNA, 10237 nt
Organism: Mus musculus (house mouse)
Lineage: Eukaryota; Metazoa; Chordata; Mammalia; Rodentia; Muridae
Product: predicted gene, 52860
Exons: 3
Source: RefSeq, a predicted model, not a curated record